UGGCUCUCGCAUCGAUGAAGAACGCAGCAAAAUGCGAUACGUAAUGUGAAUUGCAGAAUUCCGUGAAUCAUCGAAUCUUUGAACGCAUAUUGCACUCUCUGGUAUUCCGGGGAGUAUGCCUGUUUCAGUAUCAUUGAUCAUCUCAAAAUCAUAACAAUUUUGGAAUUGAGCUUUUGCCGGAAAAAAUCGGCUGGCUUUAAACCUAGUCACAGCAAAGAACCGGUUUUUUUUAAAUCAAGCCAAAAGCGUAAUAGUUGGCUUUUCAAAGUCAUCUUUCGCUAAAAGCCAGGUUUUUUUUUUGGUUUCUUGAGUUAGUGCUUGCAGAGAAACAGAAAAAUAUUUAUUUUUUUUUUUAAACUUGAUCUGAAAUCAGGUAGGAUUACCCGCUGA
RNAcentral lists this unclassified non-coding RNA (390 nucleotides) under uncultured fungus. RNAcentral describes it as "partial contains 5.8S ribosomal RNA and internal transcribed spacer 2". The stretch from base 1 to 133 matches the Rfam family "5.8S ribosomal RNA", at positions 22 to 154 of the family's 154-position model. The record is from RNAcentral. Lineage: Eukaryota; Fungi.